AGGGGGACCGCGGCGCGCCGGGCGCUGAGGGCGAGAAGGGCGAGGCGGGAGCCCCAGGGCGCCCAGGGCCGGCGGGCAGGGAGGGAGCUCCGGGACCGGCCGGGCCACGGGGGGAGAAGGGUGAGCCAGGACCGCCCGGGAAGCCGG
Neopsephotus bourkii (Bourke's parrot) is the source of this 147-nucleotide long non-coding RNA. RefSeq lists it as uncharacterized. Lineage: Eukaryota; Metazoa; Chordata; Aves; Psittaciformes; Psittacidae. The transcript is spliced from 4 exons. The record is from RefSeq and is a predicted model, not a curated record.